RNAcentral lists this unclassified non-coding RNA (432 nucleotides) under soil metagenome. RNAcentral's name for it is "partial contains 5.8S ribosomal RNA, internal transcribed spacer 2, and large subunit ribosomal RNA". The stretch from base 1 to 120 matches the Rfam family "5.8S ribosomal RNA", at positions 35 to 154 of the family's 154-position model. The record is from RNAcentral.
GAUGAAGAACGUAGCGAAAUGCGAUACGUAAUGUGAAUUGCAGAAUUCAGUGAAUCAUCGAAUCUUUGAACGCAUAUUGCGCUCUCUGGUAUUCCGGAGAGCAUGCUUGUUUGAGUAUCAGUAAACACCUCAACUUCCAUAUCUUUUUUGAAAUGGGAGUUGGACUUGAGUGAUCCCAACGCUUUUCCUCACCGAAAAGUGGCGGGUUACUUGAAAUGCAGGUGCAGCUGGACUUUUCUCUGAGCUAUAAGCAUAUCUAUUUAGUCUGCCUAAAAAACAGAUUAUUACCUUUGCUGCAGCUAACAUAAAGGAGAUUAGUUCUUGUGCUGACUGANGCAGGAUUCACAAAGACGGCUUCGGCCGACUUUGUAAACUCGAUCUCAAAUCAAGUAAGACUACCCGCUGAACUUAAGCAUAUCAAUAAGCGGAGGA